This 650-nucleotide ribosomal RNA is filed under the name uncultured Bacteroidota bacterium. Its description in RNAcentral is "bacterial SSU rRNA". It matches the Rfam family "Bacterial small subunit ribosomal RNA", at positions 227 to 877 of the family's 1533-position model. The record is from RNAcentral. Lineage: Bacteria; Pseudomonadati; Bacteroidota.
GGGCAUGCGGUACAUUAGCUAGUUGGUGAGGUAAUGGCUCACCAAGGCUACGAUGUAUAGGGGGUCUGAGAGGAUGAUCCCCCACACUGGUACUGAGACACGGACCAGACUCCUACGGGAGGCAGCAGUAGGGAAUAUUGGUCAAUGGACGCAAGUCUGAACCAGCCAUGCCGCGUGAAGGAUGAAGGCCCUCUGGGUCGUAAACUUCUUUUAUUAGGGAAGAAAACAUGGGAUGCGUCCCAAACUGACGGUACUUAAUGAAUAAGGAUCGGCUAACUUCGUGCCAGCAGCCGCGGUAAGACGAAGGAUCCAAGCGUUGUCCGGAUUUACUGGGUUUAAAGGGUGCGUAGGCGGAAAAUUAAGUCAGUGGUGAAAGCCCGCAGCUCAACUGUGGAACUGCCAUUGAAACUGAUUUUCUUGAAUAUAGCUGAGGCAGAUGGAAUAUAACAUGUAGCGGUGAAAUGCUUAGAUAUGUUAUAGAACACCGAUUGCGAAGGCAGUCUGCUAAACUAUUAUUGACGCUGAGGCACGAAAGCGUGGGGAGCGAACAGGAUUAGAUACCCUGGUAGUCCACGCCCUAAACGUUGAUUACUCGCUGUUGGCGAUAUACUCUCAGUGGCUAAGCGAAAGCGUUAAGCAAUCCACCUGGG